AACGCGAAGAACCUUACCUGGACUUGACAUCCUCGGAAGCCUAUAGAGAUAUGGGUGUGCCUUCGGGAACCGAGAGACAGGUGCUGCAUGGCUGUCGUCAGCUCGUGUCGUGAGAUGUUGGGUUAAGUCCCGUAACGAGCGCAACCCUUGUCCUUAGUUGCCACCGGGUAAUGCCGAGCACUCUAAGGAGACUGCCAGUGACAAGCUGGAGGAAGGUGGGGAUGACGUCAAGUCAUCAUGGCCUUUAUGUCCAGGGCUACACACGUGCUACAAUGGUGGUUACAAAGGGAAGCCAAGCCGCGAGGCGGAGCAAAUCCCAUAAAAGCCAUCUCAGUCCGGAUUGGAGUCUGCAACUCGACUCCAUGAAGCUGGAAUCGCUAGUAAUCGCGGAUCAGCAAUGCCGCGGUGAAUACGUUCCCGGGCCUUGUACACACCGCACGA
RNAcentral lists this ribosomal RNA (441 nucleotides) under uncultured bacterium. Its description in RNAcentral is "bacterial SSU rRNA". It matches the Rfam family "Bacterial small subunit ribosomal RNA", at positions 958 to 1397 of the family's 1533-position model. The record is from RNAcentral.